RNAcentral lists this small nuclear RNA (135 nucleotides) under Marchantia polymorpha subsp. ruderalis. RNAcentral's name for it is "U4 spliceosomal RNA". It matches the Rfam family "U4 spliceosomal RNA". Rfam says of the family: U4 small nuclear RNA (U4 snRNA) is a component of the major U2-dependent spliceosome. The record is from Rfam by way of RNAcentral. Lineage: Eukaryota; Viridiplantae; Streptophyta; Marchantiopsida; Marchantiales; Marchantiaceae.
UUCUUUGCGCUUGGGGCAAUGACGCAGUUAGUGAGGUGAAACCGAGACGCGUCAAUUGCUGGUUGAAAACUAUUUCCAUUUCCGGAUCAAAGAGUUCGAACUUCCUACAUUGAGCUGUGGCAAGGGAGCAUUUUU